Papaver somniferum (opium poppy) is the source of this 1116-nucleotide long non-coding RNA. RefSeq lists it as uncharacterized. The record is from RefSeq and is a predicted model, not a curated record. The transcript has 7 exons. NCBI's taxonomy places the organism in Eukaryota, Viridiplantae, Streptophyta, Magnoliopsida, Ranunculales, Papaveraceae.
GGGGGUAAUUUCUUAUCAAGAUAAAGGAUAUCGAGAAUCGGUUUUUCAGAGCUUCUGAAUGUGGAAAAGAGGUGUCCAGAAUGCUUGAAACUAACAAAGUUGUGUCCAAAUUUUCUGAUGGUAAAGAACCUCCAAAACAGGUGACAAAGGCUAUUACAUGGUACCGGUCGCCAUCUUCACAGUCGUCUUCAUUAAGAAAUCGCCUCACUUCAGCAUCGAGAGAUGAUGACUAUGAGAGCGAGAGAGACUUUAAUGGAGUUUUAAAUGAUCACAGGAAGUUACUCGUCCACCUUGGACAGACUGUACGCAUGGGAAAUGAAGCUCUAUGCUGAAGUGAAGGGAAAACCAUUGAAGGUACUGCUGCGUAUUCAGGAGACGUUAUACCGAUUGUGCAGCUUCAGGAUAUGAACAUUGUGCAAUAAACAACGCAGGUUGUUGGAAGCAGACUCGUGAUGGAAAGACAUACUCUGCCUGUGAUGCAAACGACAAAGUUGGAGGAAGAUUUAUAUAGUUCAGUUACAUAUUACUUGGAAUGCAUGUUGGACCUACAACUGCUGGAAGAGGAGAAUCAUAUUUGUUGAACAAAAGAGAAGAUCGGACGAUGGUGGUUGCUUGCCUUACAGAAGGUGUUCCAAUUCUUAUUUACUACUGAAAUAAGAAAGAAGUAUUUAUUUUACAUUUCAGGAAAAUAUUGCAGAGAAAUUUCUUCAAGAAGCCACAACAGCAACAUCAAAUUAAUUCCGGUGAAAUAGCUGAACAAGGAGCCACAGCAGCAACAUCAAAUUUUUGCAACGCAGCAACAACAUCAUAUUCUAAUACCACAACAACGUCAUUUCCAGUUGCAAUUGCAACCUCAACAAUUUCCACUACAGAUACAUUCAUGAAGCCAAAUUAGUUACCACAAGCAGUAUGGGUUUGCAAUUCUGAACCUAAAGCCAGGGAUUAUGGAGAACUUUAUGAAACUAGUGUUUGGAAGUAUCUGCAAGUUUUGAGUAAGUUUCUAUAUAAUAUUUAAGAUGAACUUACAGCGAUUUAAGUGCAUAUGAACUGAACUUGGGAAAUUUCUAUGUAUUCCAUUUGGUACUUAAAGAAUUUGUAUUCUUUUUUGAUGUGAAU